This 410-nucleotide ribosomal RNA is filed under the name Acidobacteriota bacterium. RNAcentral's name for it is "Acidobacteria bacterium partial 16S ribosomal RNA". It matches the Rfam family "Bacterial small subunit ribosomal RNA", at positions 355 to 776 of the family's 1533-position model. The record is from RNAcentral. Lineage: Bacteria; Pseudomonadati; Acidobacteriota.
UCGAGAAUCAUUCACAAUGGGGGAAACCCUGAUGGUGCGACGCCGCGUGGGGGAAUGAAGGUCUUCGGAUUGUAAACCCCUGUCAUGUGGGAGCAAAUUAAAAAGAUAGUACCACAAGAGGAAGAGACGGCUAACUCUGUGCCAGCAGCCGCGGUAAUACAGAGGUCUCAAGCGUUGUUCGGAAUCACUGGGCGUAAAGCGUGCGUAGGCGGUUUCGUAAGUCGUGUGUGAAAGGCGGGGGCUCAACCCCCGGACUGCACAUGAUACUGCGAGACUAGAGUAAUGGAGGGGGAACCGGAAUUCUCGGUGUAGCAGUGAAAUGCGUAGAUAUCGAGAGGAACACUCGUGGCGAAGGCGGGUUCCUGGACAUUAACUGACGCUGAGGCACGAGGGCCAGGGGAGCGAAAGGG